GCAUUAGUGGUUCAGUGGUAGAACUCUCACCUUCCAUGCAGGAGACCGGGUUCAAUUCCAGGUCAGUGCA
RNAcentral lists this transfer RNA (70 nucleotides) under Loxodonta africana (African savanna elephant). It matches the Rfam family "tRNA". Rfam says of the family: Transfer RNA (tRNA) molecules are approximately 80 nucleotides in length. Their secondary structure includes four short double-helical elements and three loops (D, anti-codon, and T loops). Lineage: Eukaryota; Metazoa; Chordata; Mammalia; Proboscidea; Elephantidae. The record is from Rfam by way of RNAcentral.